Mycena alexandri is the source of this 92-nucleotide non-coding RNA. The record is from the annotation of a GenBank genome assembly. NCBI's taxonomy places the organism in Eukaryota, Fungi, Basidiomycota, Agaricomycetes, Agaricales, Mycenaceae.
GACCUAAAGCGAAGUGGUUUCGCGUCCACGCAGCCUGAUAAACAUGAGAAGUUGUUUUGUGCAAGUCCCUGGUUCGACUCCAGGUUAGGUCA